GAGGACGACGCUGGCGGCGUGGAUUAGGCAUGCAAGUCGAACGGUAUCAUCCUUUCGGGGGUGAGAGAGUGGCGAACUGGUGAGUAACACGUAGGUUAUCUACCUCAAGACGGGACAACCCAGGGAAACUUGGGCUAAUACCGGAUGUGAGCAACUUUUAGUUGUUUGAAAGGUGGCGUAAGCUGUCGCUUGGGGAUGAGCCUGCGUCCUAUUAGUUAGUUGGUGAGGUAACGGCUCACCUAGGCAAUGAUAGGUAGGCGGCCUUAACGGGUGGUCGCCCACACUGGGAUUGAGAUACGGCCCAGACUCCUACGGGAGGCAGCAGUCGAGAAUAGUCUACAAUGGUCGGAAGACUGAUAGUGCGACGCCGCGUGAACGAUGAAUCCCUUCGGGGUGUAAAGUUCUUUUAUAUGUGAGCAGUGCUUCUUAUAUUAACAGUAUGGGGAGAGAGAUAUUAGCAUAUGAAUAAGCAACGGCUAACUCCGUG
This 487-nucleotide ribosomal RNA is filed under the name uncultured bacterium. Its description in RNAcentral is "bacterial SSU rRNA". It matches the Rfam family "Bacterial small subunit ribosomal RNA", at positions 33 to 507 of the family's 1533-position model. The record is from RNAcentral.